GACUCUCUAACUCAAUAGGCAGAGUACCUGACUCUUAAUCAGGCGGUUCUGGGUUCGAUUCCCAGGGGGGUCA
RNAcentral lists this transfer RNA (73 nucleotides) under Candidatus Pacearchaeota archaeon. RNAcentral's name for it is "tRNA-Lys". It matches the Rfam family "tRNA". Rfam says of the family: Transfer RNA (tRNA) molecules are approximately 80 nucleotides in length. Lineage: Archaea; Nanobdellati. The record is from RNAcentral.